CAGCCUCCUUCUCAAGGUCCAGAAACAAGGCCUGGAAGAUGUCAACAAUAUGGGCCUUCCCCAUCGGAAUCCGCACCGAUUAUGGGAGUUUAGGGGGUGUUCUUCAUUACGGUUUCAUCAAUCCUACAAGGAGAACUCGCUGCCGUCCGCCGUCCUCCCAGCAGCACCACCAGCAGAAACCCAAUACUGCCAGCGUCAAAGAUGGCGCCCGGCUACAGGCUCAGCUCUAAGACCGGAGCGGUAAAAGUGCCAGCACGACGCAAGCGCAAGGAUUCUGGGAGAUGUAGUUUCCUCUAUGAGGCGAUGCGUAAGAUGGCGGCCUCGGUCACAGGGUCACGUGAGAGGGGAGGUGCUAAGCCUUUGGGGCCCGCUCUUUCCGCGGAACGCGUUUUAGAAAGUUAUGGGUUUCUUGAAAGAAUCUUUGAUUUUUUUAAAAGUUUUAUUUAAUUUUUAUUAUUUUGGAUGUUUUAAAAGUUUUUUUUUUCAUUAAAUAAGGUAAUAAACGAGAAAGUCGCGAGAGCUGUGUCUACCGGACAAUAGGCGCUCAGUUUAUUCUUACCAGAAGUGUUUGCUUAGUGAAUAAAUAAUCCCAAUCGUGUAGAUAUCCAAUUUAGAAAUAAACUACUUUUCCUAUGCAA
Pteropus alecto (black flying fox) is the source of this 638-nucleotide long non-coding RNA. RefSeq lists it as uncharacterized. The record is from RefSeq and is a predicted model, not a curated record. Lineage: Eukaryota; Metazoa; Chordata; Mammalia; Chiroptera; Pteropodidae. The transcript is spliced from 2 exons.